This 636-nucleotide ribosomal RNA is filed under the name Gloeochaete wittrockiana. RNAcentral's name for it is "partial Bacterial large subunit ribosomal RNA". It matches the Rfam family "Bacterial large subunit ribosomal RNA", at positions 1144 to 1676 of the family's 2925-position model. The record is from RNAcentral. Lineage: Eukaryota; Glaucocystophyceae; Gloeochaetales; Gloeochaetaceae.
ACUGGUCAAGUGAUUCCGCGCCGACAAUGUAGCGGGGCUCAAGCGCACCGCCGAAGCCGUGGCAAUGACACUUAGGUGUUGUUGGGUAGGGGAGCGUCCUGCAUCUGGUGAAGCCCGGGAGUGAUUUACGGGUGGAGGGUGUGGGAGUGAGAAUGCAGGCAUGAGUAGCGAUAAGGCAAGUGAGAACCUUGCCCGCCGAAAGACCAAGGGUUCCUGGGCCAGGCCAGUCCGCCCAGGGUGAGUCGGGACCUAAGGCGAGGCCGACAGGCGUAGUCGAUGGACAACGGGUUGAUAUUCCCGUACCCGUGUGUGCGCGCCCGUGAUGAAUCAGCGGUACUAACCGCCCAAAACUUCGAUCACCGAUCACCUUCGGGUGUGAGGGUUCGCAGGGCUGCGCGGGACCUUCGCUGGUAGUAGUCAAGCGACGGGGUGACGCAGGAAGGUAGCCAUACCAGUCAGUGGUAAUACUGGGGCAAGCCCGUAGGGAGAACGAUAGGCAAAUCCGUCGUUCACAUAUCCUGAGAGGUGAUGCAUAGCCGAGUGAGGCGAAUUUGGUGAUCCUAUGCUGCCGAGAAAAGCCUCUAGCGAGCACACACACGGCCCGUACCCCAAACCGACACAGGUGGUCAGGUAGAG